CAAAAGAAAGGCUACAUGGUUGUUACAGCCCAUUUUAUUGAUGAAUCUUUUAAUCUAAAGAGCAUCAUUUUGAGGUUUGCAUAUGUACCAGCACCACAUAAUGGUGAAGUUAUUUGUCAAGCUUUGCACGAAUGUCUUCUUGAUUGGCAUCUAGAGAGGAAGUUAUCCACAGUUACUCUUGACAAUUGCACAAGUAAUGACAAGGCUAUUGAUAUCUUGAUAGAUAAGUUGGAUACUAAAUCACUUAUGUUGGAGGGUAAGUAUCUGCAUAUGCGUUGUUGUGCACAUAUCCUUAAUCUGAUUGUGAAAGAUAGAAUGAGUGUCAUGGAGAAAGGUAUUGCUAGAGUCCGCGAUAGUGUUGCAUUUUGGCAGGCCACACCUAAAAGGCACGAGAAAUUUGAAAAGAUGGCACACACUUUAAACAUUGACUAUUCUAGAAGGUUGUUU
Molecule: ribosomal RNA, 447 nt
Filed under: Triticum aestivum (bread wheat)
Lineage: Eukaryota; Viridiplantae; Streptophyta; Magnoliopsida; Poales; Poaceae
Description: partial small subunit ribosomal RNA
Source: RNAcentral